This 433-nucleotide ribosomal RNA is filed under the name uncultured bacterium. RNAcentral's name for it is "partial 16S ribosomal RNA". It matches the Rfam family "Bacterial small subunit ribosomal RNA", at positions 29 to 507 of the family's 1533-position model. The record is from RNAcentral.
AACGAACGCUGGCGGCAUGCCUAACACAUGCAAGUCGAACGAAGGCUUCGGCCUUAGUGGCGCACGGGUGCGCAACGCGUGGGAAUCUGCCCUUUGGUUCGGAAUAACAGCUGGAAACGGCUGCUAAUACCGGAUGAUGACGAAAGUCCAAAGAUUUAUCGCCAGAGGAUGAGCCCGCGUUGGAUUAGGUAGUUGGUGGGGUAAAGGCCUACCAAGCCGACGAUCCAUAGCCGGUCUGAGAGGAUGAUCAGCCACACUGGGACUGAGACACGGCCCAGACUCCUACGGGAGGCAGCAGUGGGGAAUAUUGGACAAUGGGCGCAAGCCUGAUCCAGCAAUGCCGCGUGAGUGAUGAAGGCCCUAGGGUUGUAAAGCUCUUUUACCCGGGAAGAUAAUGACUGUACCGGGAGAAUAAGCCCCGGCUAACUCCGUG